Molecule: small nuclear RNA, 91 nt
Gene: U5
Rfam family: U5 spliceosomal RNA
About the family: U5 RNA is a component of both types of known spliceosome. The precise function of this molecule is unknown, though it is known that the 5' loop is required for splice site selection and p220 binding, and that both the 3' stem-loop and the Sm site are important for Sm protein binding and cap methylation.
Source: Ensembl
AUACUCUGGUUUCCCUUCAGAUCAUAUAAAUCUUUUGCCUUUUACUAAAGAUUUCUGUGGACAGAGACAGACAGUGGUUGGGCCCAUUCUC